This is a long non-coding RNA of Pantherophis guttatus, 506 nucleotides long. RefSeq lists it as uncharacterized. The record is from RefSeq and is a predicted model, not a curated record. NCBI's taxonomy places the organism in Eukaryota, Metazoa, Chordata, Lepidosauria, Squamata, Colubridae.
AAAGAUGGCUCCAGGGCUGACACAUUAUCAUAAAGGUGAUUAUGAUGUAAUAUGGAAUGUCAUAAAACACUUCCUGUGCUGACGUUUAGCUACGCUAUAUAGUUCAACAGGGGUUAUUUUCAAGGCAGAUACAUGUCUCUCGUUAUCUCAACUUUUUGAGUGAAGGCAGUAUAUGAGAAGCUGUGUUGAAGGAAUUGAGGAACCCGGAACAUCUGGAAAUGUUGUGGCAAAGGGAACAUCUGGAAAGGUUCAAUGGGAGAUCAAAACCUCUUCAACCUACAUGCUCACUUAAGUUUAGAUGCAGUCAAAGUUUUCCUCUUACGAGGAUCUUUUCUCUAUUUUUACACCUGAUGAUCAACUGCCAUCAAAAAUUGAACUCAGCUUUCUAAGCAGACUUUGAGAUAAAAGAUCAAAAGAUGUGGAGAGACCUGACUCUAGAAUCACCAAGAGUGGAACAGGACUGAAUGGAUAACAUCACCAUAUCAUAAAAAUGUUGCUUAGUGAUG